RNAcentral lists this ribosomal RNA (403 nucleotides) under Verrucomicrobiota bacterium. RNAcentral's name for it is "Verrucomicrobia bacterium partial 16S ribosomal RNA". It matches the Rfam family "Bacterial small subunit ribosomal RNA", at positions 355 to 776 of the family's 1533-position model. Lineage: Bacteria; Pseudomonadati; Verrucomicrobiota. The record is from RNAcentral.
UGGGGAAUAUUGCACAAUGGGCGCAAGCCUGAUGCAGCAACGCCGCGUGAACGAUGAAGGUCUUCGGAUCGUAAAGUUCUGUUGCAGGGGAAGAUAAUGACGGUACCCUGUGAGGAAGCCCCGGCUAACUACGUGCCAGCAGCCGCGGUAAUACGUAGGGGGCUAGCGUUAUCCGGAUUUACUGGGCGUAAAGGGUGCGUAGGUGGUCUUUCAAGUCGGUGGUUAAAGGCUACGGCUCAACCGUAGUUAGCCUCCGAAACUGGAAGACUUGAGUGCAGGUGAGGAAAGUGGAAUUCCCAGUGUAGCGGUGAAAUGCGUAGAUAUUGGGAGGAACACCAGUAGCGAAGGCGGCUUUCUGGACUGCAACUGACACUGAGGCACGAAAGCGUGGGUAGCAAACAGG